RNAcentral lists this ribosomal RNA (494 nucleotides) under uncultured bacterium. RNAcentral's name for it is "partial 16S ribosomal RNA". It matches the Rfam family "Bacterial small subunit ribosomal RNA", at positions 28 to 507 of the family's 1533-position model. The record is from RNAcentral.
GAUGAACGCUGGCGGCGUGCCUAAUACAUGCAAGUAGAACGCUGAAGGAGGAGCUUGCUCUUCUGGAUGAGUUGCGAACGGGUGAGUAACGCGUAGGUAACCUGCCUUGUAGCGGGGGAUAACUAUUGGAAACGAUAGCUAAUACCGCAUGACAACAGUUAUUGCAUGAUAACUGUUUAAAAGGGGCAACUGCUCCACUACCAGAUGGACCUGCGUUGUAUAGCUAGUUGGUGGGGUAACGGCUCACCAAGGCGACGAUACAUAGCCGACCUGAGAGGGUGGUCGGCCACACUGGGACGGAGACAGGGCCCAGACACCUUCGGGAGGGAGCAGGAGGGGAGCUUCGGCGAUGGACGGAAGUCUGACCGAGCAAGGCCGCGUGAGUGAAGAAGGGUGGCGGAUCGUAAAGGUCUGUUGUAAGAGAAGAACGAGUGUGAGAGUGGAAAGUUCACACUGUGACGGUAGCUGACCAGAAAGGGACGGCUAACUACGUG